This 83-nucleotide transfer RNA is filed under the name Felis catus (domestic cat). It matches the Rfam family "tRNA". Rfam says of the family: Transfer RNA (tRNA) molecules are approximately 80 nucleotides in length. Their secondary structure includes four short double-helical elements and three loops (D, anti-codon, and T loops). Lineage: Eukaryota; Metazoa; Chordata; Mammalia; Carnivora; Felidae. The record is from Rfam by way of RNAcentral.
GCCUGAAUGGCUCAGUCGGUUAAGCGUCUGACUUCAGCCCGGGUCAUGAUCUCAGAUUGUGGGUUCGAGCCCCACCUCAGGCU